GCACUGGGGAGAGGGCAGCCCGUCCUCACGAAGCCUCCCUGUACUGAGAGAAGAAAAACAAGGGACAGAUGGAGGACAAGGCCACGCCCCUUCCCACGGCAGGGGGCAACAGAGGCCUCUGGGGACGAGCUUAGCUGGCUUACUUCCGCCCAGCAUCUUGUAGCCGUCCAGGCUAGUGCUGCCUCUAGACCGCUGGGAUGCAAGAAACAGGGCCCUGCAAAAGGAGUGAGGGGCCAGAGUCUUCCUCAGACCAGAUGCACCUGUGGACGUGGCCAGUGUUUCCCGCUGCGUCAGCUGGGGUUGGAACUGAGCCCAGUCGCACCUGAGGGUGUGAGAGACUCCAGGGCACCCAGUCCCGGCCCUGCUCUGGGAUCUGCACCCUGAGUGUGCAAUGGCCUGGACACGUCUAGAGGCACUUGCAGACACUCACUGGAAAAGAAAAGUUGCAGGAGUGAAAGUGGCCGUUCCUCAUGACACCAGCGUGUGCGGCUCGGGAAGAGCCCACAGACCAGGUGAGACUUAGCUGAUAUGCGGAAGGUGUUCACAGCCGCAAAACAGGCGUCUCCCAGCUCGUGUCUCCCAGGACAAAGAGGAGGGACCCUGGACUGCUCUCCUGACCCCUCUCUCUUCAGAUGUGAGCACGUGAAGAGCUAGGUGGGGUCUCACAUGUCAUCCAGAUCUGGUAUUUGCAGAAAGGGAGGAAAAAGAAAGACUUUGCUGGUCACCCUUAGAUCCCCCAUGGGGCCUGAGGUUCGGCGGCUGCACAGUUGGGGAAAUAGUUGCUCAGGACCCCGAUAGGUAACACAGAUGAUAGGAGGAGUGUAGCUCUGGGUGAGCAAUGGGGCAUCCUGCUUGCUCAGAUUCCCCUUUCCAUCCUUUCCACCCCAAACUCCAAAGACCACCCCCAGGAUUUCUCUGGUCUUCCCACAACUUGAAAGGCAUGACUCUAUUAUCCUGUAGACCCCUCGAGGCUUGGGACUAUGUAGGGACACCGUCUGUCCAUCUCCAGCACCCAGCAGCCUUCCUAACCAAUGGCAGCCACUUGGUGUUUGCUGAGUGAAUGAAUGACCCAUGGAUGAGUCAGCUAUUGCUAUGAUACUGUGUAACAGACAGUAUUGUCUGUGUAACAGACAAGCCCCCAAAUCUCAGUGACUCACAACCGAAAGCACUGAACUUUUUUCUUAUCCAUGGGCACAAGCCAGCAGGGGCACUUCCAGGACCAAGCAUCUCCUUUGGGGACCAGCAGCUACAGGGAGCCCAUUCUGCUCAUGGUGAAUAGGAGAAACACAAGGCCCAGUCACACAUGCACAUCUGAAGACACUGCCUGGGUCACACCCACAAACACUCCACGUGUGGCCACAGCCAGCAUCAAUGGGCUGGGGCAAGCUGUGCACCCACUUCAGCGGGGGGCACCGCAAAGCCACCUAGCCAAAGACGCAGAUGUGAAAUUCUACAUAGAGAGGGAAAGAAGAAUUUUGGAACCAAGCGUCCGAGCUGCCACAAAGCAGAGGAUGGAAACAAUGGCAGAGCACUGCGUCCUUUGCAGGCUCGUUCAGACAGGAUGUGUGGAAAUUGCUCCGAGAAGUACAAAGCUCUAGUUAAAUGCUAUAACACAGCGAUGGCAUGAUGAAAUAUCACCUCCACUGGACAACACAGUCACCAUAAAGAGACCUCAUUCUUGGAGAGAGGAAUGGGGUGCUGGACAGAGGGACCCACCUCACAGCGAGACUGGAGCUGCAUGUGGCUUGUUAACGCGGCUCUAACAAGCCCCCUGAGCCAGCAGUCCUCAGAGGGUGACCGUGGGCAGGGCCGGGGCGCGGGGCUGGCAUUGCAAAAGCUGUUAAAAUAAAGAAAUAUGGGAGU
This is an RNA transcript of Zalophus californianus (California sea lion), 1863 nucleotides long. It is a transcript of the gene named testis-expressed protein 13D-like, with no coding region annotated. NCBI's taxonomy places the organism in Eukaryota, Metazoa, Chordata, Mammalia, Carnivora, Otariidae. The record is from RefSeq and is a predicted model, not a curated record. The transcript is spliced from 3 exons.